UGAGGGAAUAUUGGGUCAAUGGGCGAGAGCCUGAACCAGCCAAGUAGCGUGCAGGAUGACGGCCCUAUGGGUUGUAAACUGCUUUUAUGCGGGGAUAAAGCGGGCGACGUGUCGCCCCUUGCAGGUACCGCAUGAAUAAGGACCGGCUAAUUCCGUGCCAGCAGCCGCGGUAAUACGGAAGGUCCGGGCGUUAUCCGGAUUUAUUGGGUUUAAAGGGAGCGCAGGCCGGGUAUUAAGCGUGUUGUGAAAUGUAGGCGCCCCAACGUCUGCACCGCAGCGCGAACUGGUGCCCUUGAGUACGCACAAAGUGGGCGGAAUUCGUGGUGUAGCGGUGAAAUGCUUAGAUAUCACGAAGAACUCCGAUUGCGAAGGCAGCUCACUGGAGCGCAACUGACGCUGAAGCU
RNAcentral lists this ribosomal RNA (404 nucleotides) under uncultured Prevotella sp. RNAcentral's name for it is "bacterial SSU rRNA". It matches the Rfam family "Bacterial small subunit ribosomal RNA", at positions 354 to 753 of the family's 1533-position model. The record is from RNAcentral. Lineage: Bacteria; Pseudomonadati; Bacteroidota; Bacteroidia; Bacteroidales; Prevotellaceae.